UCUGGGCAACUGAUGAAUUCCUUUUUUUAAUGGGUAAUUUGCGUCUGAUUAUUGUUGAUGCUAUCACCUUGGAGAGCUGAUGCCCAUU
Corchorus olitorius is the source of this 88-nucleotide non-coding RNA. The record is from Rfam. Lineage: Eukaryota; Viridiplantae; Streptophyta; Magnoliopsida; Malvales; Malvaceae.